This is a long non-coding RNA of Cydia strobilella, 2857 nucleotides long. RefSeq lists it as uncharacterized. The transcript has 2 exons. NCBI's taxonomy places the organism in Eukaryota, Metazoa, Arthropoda, Insecta, Lepidoptera, Tortricidae. The record is from RefSeq and is a predicted model, not a curated record.
CGCGCCUGCUGCAGCACCCCUUCCUGCGCCGCGCCGGCCCGCCCGCGCUGCUCGUGCCGCUCAUGCCGCCGCCGCCGAGGCCCGCCCCCGCCACCUGUAAUUAAGAUAUUCCUAACGACUUACCAGAUGCCCACCAGUUCGACACGAAAAAGACGUAUUUAUUUUAUCGAAGUGACAAGUGGCGUAGAGCUUGCAGCUUCUUAUCAUUUAGCAUUCCCACAACGAUCAUGACAAACCAAAGUUGUUACGAAGCAACUUGUAAUGUGUAAUUUUAGUUUUUUGUACAAAAUAGUCGUUACGUCACGCAUUUUAGCUAUCGUAAGCGGGAAUUACGUAUAGACCUGAAAUGUUGGUAUCCUAUAUUGUAUUACUAUAAGUUUACUAUUCCACAUAUUUAUAAACUAAAAUGUUACUUUCCAUAUCAAUAGGUGCCUUAUGAUAUCAUGAUAUGACAAGUGAUUAAGGUAGGCUUUUCAAAUAGAAAGCCGCAAAUAUCUACUUUAAAUGCAAAUAACUAACAGCCGGUUGCUCAAAAAUUGUAUGUAAAGUGACUUCUUAGCCGAGUAAAAAAGUAAUAAGCCGUUGAUUGUGGUCGGUGGAACCGGUCAGUGUUGUCUAAAACAGUGGAUUUUCAGUCAAGAAUGGUGCAAACAAGAGUAAUGUGAAAUCUACUUUGUACUAAACUAUUGUAUAAUUAUUCGUUUUGCUAUUUUAAAUCGCUUAUGUUCCAACUGUUCGAAAUCAUAAUCAAGUUAGUGUUGGAUUCAUAAAUUCCAUAAAUAAUGAAGAUUUACAUACUGUUGACAUUUGAUACCUACAUAUAUAAUAAUAAAAAGCUACAAUCCUAAACACAUACCGAAUGACAAGAUUUAUGACUUCAUCUACGAUAACAGAAAACACCACUUAAUAAUUAUUUAUAAUGGUUGGUUAUGGCCCGCAUUAUAAAUAUAAAACCCUUUAAAAAGGAAAAAAUAAAAGAAAAUAUUAAUUAGGUAUUGUGUACAAUGAAGACAUGAUUCAAUGCACCAAAUUAACAAAAAAAAAACAAACUACUUUCCCUUCUACUUCUGCGUGGAAUGAAUUUAUUUGCAUCUUUCUUAUCUGAAAUCCACUCGUAGCCUAAAUUUAACAGCUUUCAAAUAACAAUUUAAUAUACUUGACAACGUAUUUUACAAAUUUCAAAUACGUAAUUUCCGCGUCUUCUCUUCCAGUGAAGUCAUUCCAUUGCCGAUCCAUAUACUACAUGUAUGGAAAACAUUCCUUUUGUUUCUAUUUUCUCUUGAACAUGUAAUCGAUAUAUCGUUGAAAUAUAUUUAUCGUGUUUUUAUGCCAUAAAAUUGUUGGAUACAUGUUUGUUGUAGAUUUAUGUGUUAGUGUAUGCCUUUAAGCGUUAAGUAAUAUUAUCACGUUUCUAUAACUCCCGUCCAAAUGGAGUGUUAUACUGUUUUCUUGCACUAUAAUAUUAUAUUCAUACCUUUAUGACUUAAAACAAGCCUUUUACACUUAUUUAGGUUCUUACCGAAUCGUGUCUUGUUAUACAGUGUGUUUUAAAUUAGUUUCUUAAAAGAUGACAAAAAUGAAUCAGUAUUAUCGAGUUGCAAGACGGCUGCUGUUGUACUUAACUUACUAAAUUAUAAAUCGAUAUUAGUAGAUAUUAUUCGUAAUCGUAAGUUAAAAACGUCGAUUAAUCUUCUACAUUCCGAUUCCGGUAUUCGGGUAUUUUAAAUUUCUAUUUUCUUAUUUUUAUAUUCAACUUUAUACUUGAUAUGUAAUGUUAUUAAAUGAAAUUUACAAAACGGUCAUAUCAGCCGAUGUUUAGACUUAAGACUGGGCCCUUUUUUUUCAUGGAACCAGUGUCCUGGCCCAUCAAAUUCAGUGGCAGCUAUAUUAUUAUUUAAAAAAAACAAAAUGGGUCAAAAUGGAGGGACUUUAAUCCUUACAUCAUACUUAUAACCGAUGAAUAGGCGCAGUUGCUUACUUGUCCCGAAUUAACUUAUUGUUUCUCGUACGAGUGUUCGAAAUCUUAGUAAAAUCAUACAUUUUUGCAUUCGAGCGUAUGAACGAAGUUUUAUUAGCAAUAAGAAUAAACAGAGUCACAAAUACCCUUUUUUUCCAGUCGAUAGGUAUUUUAAAGAAGUUAGGAUGACUAAAAAGCGAUUUGGCCUUAAAACUGUGAUGUCUUGAACCUGAUUAUGAUAUUUUAUCUAAAUGAAAUUUUGUCUGCCAGAUAUUUUUACAAAAGAUUACAUUACUUGCCAGAUUUUUGAGGACUACUGCCCUCUGGAACUCACUGAAAUUCAUUUGAACGACUAAUUUCUGAACUUAGGUAGAUUGCGCAAAAAAAAACUAUAACAGACAUACGAACUGGUCACAGAUUCCUUAAUAAUUUUACAAAGUAAUAGUCGUUCGAGGUUUGAGUGAUUUUUGUAUGUAAAAACAAACCACGCAAUUUUGGCUUAUAUGUUAAGUGAGUAAUAUUACUAACAAAGUAUUGUAUGUGAAUUAUAAAGCUAGAGUUGUGACUAAAUGAUACAUACAAUCGGAAACAUAGGCAGCUAGAUGUUACUAAAAUAGACUAGAGCCUUACCUAGACUUAGUGCCUUAACACAGCCUAGAUUGUUGAAAGCACGUUUGUUAUUUACAAUAUUUGCUCGUAUUUAUACAGUAACACGUUAAAGUAGAUCUUCAUCACAAAUCAUUUUCAUUGUCUUCUUGCGACAUGAUGUUAUUCAUCAGAAUGUCAUAAUUUAUUUGUAUCAAUUUCAAAUUUAUGUAAGGUAUAUGCCAAAUAUUUUGUAAAAUUAUGAUAUCACAUUGUUAUAAGAUUGUUAUGAAAUAUAGAUUUUGAGAAAAAGAA